AAUCUGGUUGAUCCUGCCAGAGGCGACCGCUAUUGGAGUUCGAUUAAGCCAUGCGAGUAGAAUGAAAUUAGAUUCAUUGCAAACUGCUCAGUAACACGUGGAUAACCUGCCCUAUGCUCUGGAAUAACCUCGGGAAACUGAGAAUAAUACCGGAUAGAUCACAACGCCUGGAACGGUGUGUGGUUGAAAGACUACGGCAUAGGAUGGGUCUGCGGCGUAUCAGGUCGUAGGGGGUGUAAUGGACCCCCUAGCCAUCGACGCGUACGGGUGUUGGGAGACAUAGCCCGGAGACGGAUUCUGAGACACGAAUCCGGACCCUACGGGGUGCAGCAGG
This 334-nucleotide ribosomal RNA is filed under the name Candidatus Poseidoniaceae archaeon. RNAcentral's name for it is "bacterial SSU rRNA". It matches the Rfam family "Archaeal small subunit ribosomal RNA", at positions 1 to 339 of the family's 1478-position model. The record is from RNAcentral. Lineage: Archaea; Methanobacteriati; Thermoplasmatota; Candidatus Poseidoniia; Candidatus Poseidoniales; Candidatus Poseidoniaceae.